RNAcentral lists this ribosomal RNA (255 nucleotides) under uncultured bacterium. Its description in RNAcentral is "partial 16S ribosomal RNA". It matches the Rfam family "Bacterial small subunit ribosomal RNA", at positions 524 to 777 of the family's 1533-position model. The record is from RNAcentral.
UACGGGGGGAGCAAGCGUUGUUCGGAUUUACUGGGCGUAAAGGGCGCGUAGGCGGCGUGACAAGUCACUUGUGAAAUCUCCGGGCUUAACUCGGAACGGUCAAGUGAUACUGUCGUGCUAGAGUACAGAAGGGGCAACUGGAAUUCUCGGUGUAGCGGUGAAAUGCGUAGAUAUCGAGAGGAACACCUGCGGCGAAGGCGGGUUGCUGGGCUGAUACUGACGCUGAGGCGCGAAAGCCAGGGGGAGCGAACGGGG